This 3401-nucleotide long non-coding RNA is filed under the name Phascolarctos cinereus (koala). RNAcentral's name for it is "lncRNA (ENSPCIG00000024920.2)". The record is from RNAcentral. Lineage: Eukaryota; Metazoa; Chordata; Mammalia; Diprotodontia; Phascolarctidae.
GGUGCUCACCUCAACCAGCAUGGUGUCCUGUACCCUCAUAAGAAGGUGCCAUGUGGUUUUGAAAGAUACCUUUGGAACUUUUUCAUUGCCAAAGAACCUAGACAGUUAUUGGCCAAACAUCUGUUGUAACUGGACUAUCUGGGCAGGGUCCAAGAAACACAUUGUUGUUUACAUCAAAGGAUUUGAGGGGCCUGAGAACUGUGACCAAAACCAGGACAAAAUCAUUUUUCAAGGGGUCUCAUCAAGUGUGGAAAGGAAAACCUUCUAUGCAUGUAGAAGGCAAGGCACUUUGAUUUUUGCUACUCAAGCCCUGGCUGUCCAUAUAGUGUUUCUCUCUGUGAAGUCUUAUCCUAGACACAUCCCACAUUUUGAAGGCCAGUAUUUUAUCUUCACAGACCCGGAGAGACAAGUCCCUCCUAAACCUGCCAUUGGUUCUUCCUUAGCAACUUCCCAGAGACUCAGAGAGAGGACUCUAAGUAGUGUGGGUUCUCAUCCUCAGCUAGUGACAAAACCAAAGCCUGGGAGCUUUCCAAACAUGAACACCAUCUACAUGAGUCUGGGGAGCAAAAGCCAAAUUGUGACUGAGAUACUGAUGCCAAAGAAUGAGGGGCUAAUGGAGGGAGAAAGAAAGGUUCUUGAAUGGAAGCAUCUGCAUAGCCUUCUUCCUCUGAUUCCUGCCAAAGGGCCAUUGAUAAGGAACAGACACUUGACACCUAUUUUGCUUAGGCAGGAGCUCAGCAGGCCAACAGAGACUAUAAAAAGUUCAGCUGGAAGGGACUCUGUGGUAUCAUUUAGGAUGUCAUCAAUCCCAGUUACUUCCUGUGGGUACAUACCAGAAAAUAAAGCUUCCCAAGAUAGCUUGCCUGUGGACUCAUUGAUUAUUCACCCUCGUUGGCUUUCUAAGACUUUCCCCUUGACAGAGCUACUUCCGAAACCUAUAGGCGUUUCUGACAGGCUUCUUCCCUCUGCCAGUAUUCCAGAAAAGAGGCUUCCUUGGAUCACAGCUAAAAAACAAAAGCUCACAUGGCAAGGGGACCUUGUUAUUACUAAACCUUCCCACUUUUAUUCAUCCUUGACUGCUCAGAGUAUAAGGAAAUUCCAGGAUGCUGUGCGUAAUCAUGAUCAUCUCUACCAGAGUUUCAGCCAUGUGAUGCUGGUUAAAGGAAAGAAUUUUCUAGAAACAAGUCCUGGAGUUUAUGAGUCUGUCACCAGUCCUUCAAAUAUCCCUAAAGAAGAACUAUUCUUAAAUCUCCUGUUCAAUAAUGAACAGGUAGCACCAGAAUGCAAAGAGAGAGGUGGAGAAACCUUCCCAACAAGGGAUGAGGCAAGCAGGGGAGUCAGCUUGGAUCCAGCUCAGUCCAGCACUUUGGGAAAUAUCAGACCUCUCAAUGAGGAGCAUCUAGAUCUGGGAAGCCCUAGAGAAGUGACAACCUCCAAUGGAUUUGUGUGGGAUUCUUUAUCUCCUGGCAGCCUGACUGAGCUCUCCCCUUCCUUGAAGACCCCUGGUACUGCCCAGAGCUUCCUCAGAGAAGUCACAGAUGAUGUCCAUCCGAGCACUGGUGCUGCCCAUUCGAGUGAGCCAAUGCUUAACCUCAAAACCAAGGAUGAUUGGAAGUCCAAGGCCAUGGUAUCUUUGAUCCCUGGUCAAGUGUGGAAGAACAUGACUGCUGAUGGAGUCUUGGUUUUAACCCCAGGAUAUUCUGAUGCAGAAACAACCUCCCCAUCUUUUGGAAAUGAGUCUGUCUUAGAGUUCCAACAUUAUCCAGGAGAUAUCCUAUAUGAAGUAAUUGUCGAAAUGGAAUGCCCGGUAGAGACCCCUUACAAUACCUCUGAAGUGGAGAAAGUCUUGGCAGACUCACUUAAGCAAGAGAUUGGGGAAAAUCUAGACCACUUUUCACCUGAAGCAGAUGAAUUCAAACUAACUAGAAUUAAAAGAAAAGAUACCUUAAAUGUCAUGUUCAUUUUCUGGCUGCAUCUGAGAUCUAGAGGGCGAAAUAUGUCAGCCACUCUGAUGUCCCAAUUAGGAGCAUCUGAGAGCAGUGCACUGCAUCUUCAAUUAAGAACUCUCAUCAGAGACACAGUAGAAGCUCUCCAACUUCAUCUGAAAUUUAUCUCCAUUCACGAUGUGAAUGAAUGUGAAAUGGGCCUAGAACAAUGUGGUGAAGGGGCUGAAUGCUUCAAUGGAGCUGGUACUUACAUAUGUCGUUGCAAAGAAGACUAUGAAGAUCGUUCCCCCCGUGCAGAUUGGUACUCUGUGUGUCCAUGUCCCACGCUCAGGAGUUGGAUUUUCUUUCAAUUAUCUGGAUCUUCUCAUCACUGUUACUGUCUUUACCACCGUCCUCCUCGUGCUGAUAAUAGGUUUUGUGUGGCUGGCAACCAGAACAACCUAAGAAAAGAGGGAUUUUUGCCUUCAGGAGACAAUGUCCCUGGAGGGUUUGUCUACAUUACCACUGAUCCAAACCAAACCUCACCUCGAGGAAGUUCAACAAAUGCUCCCUCUAUAAUCCCUAUCAGCCUAAGUCCCCAGCCAGAAUCAUAGAUGGCUCCCUGUAACAAAUAUCUUACAAAGACUACCAUGUGUGUAUGGAACAGUCUGAAUAUCUCAAAUAAUGAUUUAAGGAAUAUUUAUCUGUUGUCGCUCUGAUCUCCUGUUGAGUCAGAUGCAGGAGAAGGUGAUUUUUCUGUCAAUUUUUCUCUGGGACAACAAAAAGACACUGCACAUUUUAGGGUGGAUGGGGGUGGGUGUAUCCUUCCAGUAACUUAAAAGGAGAGAAUUUCUGAUUGUAAUCCAUUUGUCUUUCUUGUUCCUUCCUACCUGAAUUAUACUUCUUGGCUCUAGAUUCUAGCCUCUAUAGGUGGAGGAAUUUACAUUUGUAUCUUAGCAUCAAGACUUUUACACUAAUUCCUGUAAUGAGCAGAAGCACAAAGCUAAUGACCUGGACAUUUUUGUGCCAUCUGACUGAAGUCUGCAGGAAGCACCCAGGGAUCCAGGAAAUGGAGGGGACACAUACCUAUUUCCAAAGCUGAUGAAUGAGUCCUGUGACUUUUAAGGAUACCCAAGUUAAAGUGCUGUUAAUUUAGCACAGUUUGGAAACUCCCAUUUGACCAUAGUGUAUUUUUAUAUGAAGAAUUAAAUCCUAACCCACCCUCCCCCCGGCCCUGGGUCUGGGGAACUAGAAGACUUGGUAUUCAAAAAUAAUUCUCUCCUUGUACCUACCAUCUUUUUUGUGAAGUUACAAAUAUGUGUAUUAUAUUUGUAGAAAUUGUUUUAAAUUCCCUCUCAAGAGCACAUAGCUAAGCACUGUACUGUUAAUUGUUUUUGUUUGUUUUUUAUCAAUACUAUGGCUACCCGUUCAGAGAAGUUGCUUUGUCUGAUAUGGUGGUUUACUUGUAAGCUGAUC